AUUGAACGCUGGCGGCAGGCCUAACACAUGCAAGUCGAGCGGAUGAAGGGAGCUUGCUCCUGGAUUCAGCGGCGGACGGGUGAGUAAUGCCUAGGAAUCUGCCUGGUAGUGGGGGAUAACGUCCGGAAACGGGCGCUAAUACCGCAUACGUCCUGAGGGAGAAAGUGGGGGAUCUUCGGACCUCACGCUAUCAGAUGAGCCUAGGUCGGAUUAGCUAGUUGGUGGGGUAAAGGCCUACCAAGGCGACGAUCCGUAACUGGUCUGAGAGGAUGAUCAGUCACACUGGAACUGAGACACGGUCCAGACUCCUACGGGAGGCGGCAGUGGGGAAUAGUGGACAAUGGGCGAAAGCCUGAUCCAGCCAUGCCGCGUGUGUGAAGAAGGUCUUCGGAUUGUAAAGCACUUUAAGUUGGGAGGAAGGGCAGUAAGUUAAUACCUUGCUGUUUUGACGUUACCAACAGAAUAAGCACCGGCUAACUUCGUG
RNAcentral lists this ribosomal RNA (484 nucleotides) under uncultured bacterium. Its description in RNAcentral is "partial 16S ribosomal RNA". It matches the Rfam family "Bacterial small subunit ribosomal RNA", at positions 30 to 507 of the family's 1533-position model. The record is from RNAcentral.